This 710-nucleotide ribosomal RNA is filed under the name Camarosporidiella caraganicola. Its description in RNAcentral is "eukaryotic LSU rRNA". It matches the Rfam family "Eukaryotic large subunit ribosomal RNA", at positions 122 to 848 of the family's 3401-position model. Lineage: Eukaryota; Fungi; Ascomycota; Dothideomycetes; Pleosporales. The record is from RNAcentral.
CUGGCUCUUUCAGAGUCCGAGUUGUAAUUUGCAGAGGGCGCUUUGGCGUUGGCAGCGGUCCAAGUUCCUUGGAACAGGACGUCACAGAGGGUGAGAAUCCCGUACGUGGUCGCUGGCCUUCGCCGUGUAAAGCCCCUUCGACGAGUCGAGUUGUUUGGGAAUGCAGCUCUAAAUGGGAGGUAAAUUUCUUCUAAAGCUAAAUACUGGCCAGAGACCGAUAGCGCACAAGUAGAGUGAUCGAAAGAUGAAAAGCACUUUGGAAAGAGAGUCAAAUAGCACGUGAAAUUGUUGAAAGGGAAGCGCUUGCAGCCAGACUUGCCUGUAGUUGCUCAUCCGGGCUUUUGCCCGGUGCACUCUUCUGCGGGCAGGCCAGCAUCAGUUUGGGCGGUUGGAUAAAGGUCUCUGUCAUGUACCUCCUUUCGGGGAGGCCUUAUAGGGGAGACGUCAUGCAACCAGCCUGGACUGAGGUCCGCGCAUUUAUGCUAGGAUGCUGGCGUAAUGGCUGUAAGCGGCCCGUCUUGAAACACGGACCAAGGAGUCUAACAUCUAUGCGAGUGUUUGGGUGUCAAGCCCGAACGCGUAAUGAAAGUGAACGGAGGUGGGACCCCUUUAGGGUGCACCAUCGACCGAUCCUGAUGUCUUCGGAUGGAUUUGAGUAAGAGCAUGGCUGUUGGGACCCGAAAGAUGGUGAACUAUGCUUGAAUAGGGUG